CGGCCCACUGCUCCCUGGUUGCAAGUCCCGUGGGGACCCUUAGGAGUAAAAAGUUCAUGCCCGGGAAUGGGCAUGGGGUGCUCUGGAGAGAGCCUGUGCUGAGUCUUUGUCCUGAGGGCUUUUUCUCAUUAUUAUUUCUUCUGAAGGAACAGGUGCCUGUGGAUUCUCCGUGCGGACGGCACAGGACCAGGGCCCUAGGAGAGGCAGGCACUGCAGGGCGAAGAGUCAGAGAUCCAGGGACAUUCAGAGCGUAUGGAAACCUCUUCUAAAAAGACAGGGAGCAUGCUCCUUCCAGAGAAGAGAGGAUCUGACACGGGCACGGGAUUUAUGAAUGCUGCGUGCGGGCCUGGUGUGAUGGGGACAGCUUUCCUGCAAUGGGACUGCGGAGCAGCACCUCAGCUGGCCUGGGUGGCAGGCACCAAUCUCCCCAUCGUUUGAUCUCUGAGCACUGAUUAGUGUUGUUCCCUAAAGCCUUCACAGGUCCAGAAAAUGACCCGCAGAUAAGGCAAAGUGGUGUGGCCGAAUAACACAGCGGUACAUAGUUCAGGUAUUUUCUCCAGUUUGCAAUUUCUAACAAAUGGCUAAAUGUUGUUGCCCACUUACUUGGCUAUAUAUGGCAGUUUUGCUAAUUUAAUACCUACUGUUACACAACAUCAGUGCUUGUAAGCUUGAUGCAUAACCUACAACACAUACACACAUACAUAUGUAUGUGGGUAAUAUUUAUAUUGAUCUUUAGUUGAAUGUUAAUUACCUAUUACUUCUCUA
Eptesicus fuscus (big brown bat) is the source of this 765-nucleotide long non-coding RNA. RefSeq lists it as uncharacterized. The transcript is spliced from 3 exons. The record is from RefSeq and is a predicted model, not a curated record. Lineage: Eukaryota; Metazoa; Chordata; Mammalia; Chiroptera; Vespertilionidae.